AGAGCGAACGCUGGCGGCAGGCUUAACACAUGCAAGUCGAGCGGGCGUAGCAAUACGUCAGCGGCAGACGGGUGAGUAACGCGUGGGAACGUACCUUUUGGUUCGGAACAACACAGGGAAACUUGUGCUAAUACCGGAUAAGCCCUUACGGGGAAAGAUUUAUCGCCAAAAGAUCGGCCCGCGUCUGAUUAGCUAGUUGGUGAGGUAACGGCUCACCAAGGCGACGAUCAGUAGCUGGUCUGAGAGGAUGAUCAGCCGACAUUGGGACUGAGACACGGCCCAAACUCCUACGGGAGGCAGCAGUGGGGAAUAUUGGACAAUGGGCGCAAGCCUGAUCCAGCCAUGCCGCGUGAGUGAUGAAGGCCCUAGGGUUGUAAAGCUCUUUUGUGCGGGAAGAUAAUGACGGUACCGCAAGAAUAAGCCCCGGCUAACUUCGUGCCAGCAGCCGC
RNAcentral lists this ribosomal RNA (449 nucleotides) under uncultured bacterium. RNAcentral describes it as "SSU rRNA". It matches the Rfam family "Bacterial small subunit ribosomal RNA", at positions 26 to 518 of the family's 1533-position model. The record is from RNAcentral.